RNAcentral lists this ribosomal RNA (186 nucleotides) under Hastula hastata. RNAcentral describes it as "partial 28S ribosomal RNA". Lineage: Eukaryota; Metazoa; Mollusca; Gastropoda; Neogastropoda; Terebridae. The record is from RNAcentral.
GCUCGGAUGCACUCUUUUGUCCUCAUCAUGCCUUCGCCUCGCCCGCCGCCGCUGCUGCUUCAUGCGGCCGGUGCGCCGUGCGGUGUGCGGACGCGGGGCGAGGAGUGGUAAGAAGGGGGGAAGAAAAGCUCUCUUGCUUCCGACCUCAGAUCGGACGAGAUUACCCGCUGAAUUUAAGCAUAUCAC